This 406-nucleotide ribosomal RNA is filed under the name uncultured bacterium. RNAcentral's name for it is "partial 16S ribosomal RNA". It matches the Rfam family "Bacterial small subunit ribosomal RNA", at positions 29 to 526 of the family's 1533-position model. The record is from RNAcentral.
AUUGAACGCUGGCGGCAGGCCUAACACAUGCAAGUCGAACGAGUGGCGGACGGGUGAGUAUUGUCUGGGAAACUGCCUGAUGGAGGGGGAUAACUACUGGAAACGGUAUCUAAUACCGCAUACCAUCAGAUGUGCCCAGAUGGGAUUCGCUAGUAGGGGGGGUAACGGCUCACCUAGGCGACGAUCCCUAGCUGGUCUGAGAGGAUGACCCGCCACACGGGAACGGAGACACGGUCCAGACUCCUACGGGAGGCAGCAGUGGGGAAUAGGGCACAAUGGGCGCAAGCCUGAUGCAGCCAUGCCGCGGGUAUGAAGAAGGCCUUCGGGUUGUAAAGUACUUUCAGCGGGGAGGCGUUACCCGCAGAAGAAGCACCGGCUAACUCCGUGCCAGCAGCCGCGGUAAUAC